Molecule: transfer RNA, 71 nt
Filed under: Spirochaeta sp.
Lineage: Bacteria; Pseudomonadati; Spirochaetota; Spirochaetia; Spirochaetales; Spirochaetaceae
Also listed under: 3 other names
Description: tRNA-Gly
Rfam family: tRNA
About the family: Transfer RNA (tRNA) molecules are approximately 80 nucleotides in length. Their secondary structure includes four short double-helical elements and three loops (D, anti-codon, and T loops).
Source: RNAcentral
GCGGUGGUCGUAUAACGGCAUUACCCCAGCUUCCCAAGCUGGAGACGCGGGUUCGACUCCCGUCCACCGCU